RNAcentral lists this ribosomal RNA (465 nucleotides) under uncultured bacterium. Its description in RNAcentral is "partial 16S ribosomal RNA". It matches the Rfam family "Bacterial small subunit ribosomal RNA", at positions 28 to 507 of the family's 1533-position model. The record is from RNAcentral.
GACGAACGCUGGCGGCGUGCUUAACACAUGCAAGUCGUACGGUAAGGCCCUUUCGGGGGUACACGAGUGGCGAACGGGUGAGUAACACGUGAGUAACCUGCCCACAACUUUGGGAUAACGCUAGGAAACUGGUGCUAAUACUGGAUAUGUGCUCCUGCUGCAUGGUGGGGGUUGGAAAGCUCCGGCGGUUGUGGAUGGACUCGCGGCCUAUCAGCUUGUUGGUGGGGUAGUGGCCUACCAAGGCGGCGACGGGUAGCCGGCCUGAGAGGGUGACCGGCCACAUUGGGACUGAGAGACGGCCCAGACUCCUACGGGAGGCAGCAGUGGGGAAUAUUGCACAAUGGGCGCAAGCCUGAUGCAGCAACGCCGCGUGCGGGAUGACGGCCUUCAGGUUGUAAAACGCUUUCAGCAGGGACGAAGCUUUUUGUGACGGUACCUGCAGAAGAAGCACCGGCUAACUACGUG